AGCGCGUAUCGGUUCAGACCGAUGCAAAUAAUUUUACUAUUAGACAGUUGGUAGACUGCAGUAGAUCGGAAAUUGUUUUCGGCGUCGCGUCGCGUCGUAUCGUAUUUGCUGCGUUCGGUAAUUAAUAAUUGAUUUCAAUCGGUGAUCGACAAAGUAGUUCGUCGACAGAAAGAUCAGGCGAUCAAGAAUCGAGUCGGGGAUGGUUCGAAGGAUCUCAGGAUGCCGUGUGAAAAUCGUCGCGAGUGGAAUUCAAACCGUCGCGAAAUGGGACGGUUGGCGUGGAAUGCCAGCGUUUCGUGAGUCGCGUAAUGGCAUAUCCACACAACUUGCAUAGCCGUAUAAACGUAUGCAUAAAGAAAAUUAUCCAGUUAUAUUUUAUUAUGAGAGAAAUGCGACUAUGUAAGUUUGUAGAUAUAUCCUAAAUAGCCGUGUGCGUGAAGUGUUUCGAUAUGUAAUAAAAGUGUUGAAAAGUGACGAAAAGUGCAUGUUGAAAGCAUAAAGUGAAAAAAGUGUGUGGUAAAAAGUGUUUAUAGUGUCCCCAAUGGAGUAACGAUUUUGGAUAUCCAAGAUGUCUGCCAAGACGACCAGCGCAGUGGGUGGCGAGUGUUAAUGACGAUCGAGGAGAGCUGAUGUCUUCCGAUGUCCAGUCAAGAAAUGGUGGACGGCGCCGUUCUCGUUGUCAACGCGGAUUAUUGAGGUGGUUCAUCAUGGUACGAGAGUUGCGGAACAGCUGGAUCCUCACGAGACUUCUUUGAUACGUUGCAACGUCAAUUGACAAAAAAAAAAACAGCACCAUCGCCACUACCCUUGACAACGAUCGUUAACUCUUGUUCUGCGAUGACCUCGAGCCAUUUGCGCUUUAGCCGUCGUCCGUGCACGCCGACUGAGGACUCCCUAGUAAGCCAUAAUGCAAGAUGUGGAUUGGCGGAGAAACUCUUCCGAGAUUCUUAAGGUCUUAACCAAUGAGCUGUCAGACUGGAGUGUGCCUUGAAGUAGUGGAGGUGGCCAAAUGGAGGUGGAGCAAAUUGUAGUUCGAGAGUGACAGCAAAUUAAAAUGUAUCUUAUAUGUAUAGCAUUGUACUGGUUUGAUCUCUUACUAGAGAGUCCUUAGUUUUUAUUAUUAGAAAUACAAUGAUAAGUUUUAU
RNA transcript from Acromyrmex echinatior (Panamanian leafcutter ant), 1145 nucleotides. RefSeq lists it as uncharacterized. The record is from RefSeq and is a predicted model, not a curated record. Lineage: Eukaryota; Metazoa; Arthropoda; Insecta; Hymenoptera; Formicidae.